CGGGAUGUAGCGCAGCCCGGUUAGCGUAUUUGUCUGGGGGGCAAAGGGUCGCGAGUUCAAAUCUCGCCAUCCCGA
This 75-nucleotide transfer RNA is filed under the name Candidatus Delongbacteria bacterium GWF2_40_14. RNAcentral's name for it is "tRNA-Pro". It matches the Rfam family "tRNA". From Rfam's summary of the family: Transfer RNA (tRNA) molecules are approximately 80 nucleotides in length. Their secondary structure includes four short double-helical elements and three loops (D, anti-codon, and T loops). The record is from RNAcentral. Lineage: Bacteria; Candidatus Delongiibacteriota. RNAcentral also lists the same sequence under 3 other names.